UCGAGCGGCAGCGCGGGGCAACCUGGCGGCGAGCGGCGAACGGGUGAGUAAUGCAUCGGAACAUGUCCAAUCGUGGGGGAUAGCCCGGCGAAAGCCGGAUUAAUACCGCAUACGCCCUUCGGGGGAAAGUGGGGGACCGCAAGGCCUCACGCGACUGGGUUGGCCGAUGUCCGAUUAGCUAGUUGGUGGGGUAAAGGCUUACCAAGGCGAUGAUCGGUAGCUGGUCUGAGAGGAUGAUCAGCCACACUGGGACUGGGACACGGCCCAGACUCCUACGGGAGGCAGCAGUGGGGAAUUUUGGACAAUGGGGGCAACCCUGAUCCAGCCAUUCCGCGUGAGUGAAGAAGGCCUUCGGGUUGUAAAGCUCUUUUGUCCGGAACGAAACGGUUCGCGUGAAUAUCGCUGACUACUGACGGUACCGGAAGAAUAAGCACCGGCUAACUACGUGCCAGCAGCCGCGGUAAUACGUAGGGUGCGAGCGUUAAUCGGAAUUACUGGGCGUAAAGCGUGCGCAGGCGGUUUUGUAAGCCAGAUGUGAAAUCCCCGGGCUUAACCUGGGAAUGGCAUUUGGGACUGCAAGGCUGGAGUGCGGCAGAGGAGACUGGAAUUCCUGGUGUAGCAGUGAAAUGCGUAGAUAUCAGGAGGAAUACCGAUGGCGAAGGCAGGUCUCUGGGCUGACACUGACGCUCAUGCACGAAAGCGUGGGGAGCAAACAGGAUUAGAUACCCUGGUAGUCCACGCCCUAAACGAUGUCGACUGGUUGUUGGGAGUUUGACACUCUCAGUAACGAAGCUAACGCGUGAAGUCGAC
RNAcentral lists this ribosomal RNA (810 nucleotides) under uncultured bacterium. RNAcentral's name for it is "bacterial SSU rRNA". It matches the Rfam family "Bacterial small subunit ribosomal RNA", at positions 62 to 869 of the family's 1533-position model. The record is from RNAcentral.